UGGGUUGUGGCUCAUUGGUAGAGCGCUUGCCUAGCAUGUGUGAGGCACUGGGUUCGAUUCUCAGCACUGCAU
Molecule: transfer RNA, 72 nt
Filed under: Ictidomys tridecemlineatus (thirteen-lined ground squirrel)
Lineage: Eukaryota; Metazoa; Chordata; Mammalia; Rodentia; Sciuridae
Description: Spermophilus tridecemlineatus (thirteen-lined ground squirrel) tRNA
Rfam family: tRNA
About the family: Transfer RNA (tRNA) molecules are approximately 80 nucleotides in length.
Source: Rfam by way of RNAcentral